Myodes glareolus (Bank vole) is the source of this 373-nucleotide non-coding RNA. NCBI's taxonomy places the organism in Eukaryota, Metazoa, Chordata, Mammalia, Rodentia, Cricetidae. The record is from the annotation of a RefSeq genome assembly.
CCUUCUGACAAGAGCCUCCAACACAGCAUGGCUGUCCAGGUGCUGCUUCUCUGCCUGGUGAUAUUUCCAAGUUGUGCCCUGUCCCAGGUACAGCUGAAGGAGUCAGGACCUGGCCUAGUGCAGCCUUCACAGACCCUGUUGCUCAUCUGCACGGUCUCUGGAUUCUCAUUAACCAACUAUCAUAUAAACUGGGUCCGCCAACUCUCAGGAAAGGGUCUGGAGUGGAUAGGAAUAAUAUGUUAUGAUGGAAGCACAAAUUAUAAUUCAGCUCUCCAGUCCCGAAUCAGUAUCACCAGGGACACCUCCAAGAGCCAAGUUUUCUUAAAACUGAGCAGUCUGUAAACUGAGGACACAGCCAUGUAUUACUGUGCCA